CUCACUCCCUCUCCCUACCUAGCAACAGUGAUUUGUUUCCUUUCACAGCGAGUAAGUCUGCUAAGGCUGCCUAUGGAUCUUGCGACCUUACUGAGUUAAGUAAUACUUCUUUCGACUAAGCUGCGUUUAUCUGAUUUCUCCACAGGAUCCCUCUGAGAUCUCUCCUCCUGGGUCUGGGAUACCCUGGACUACUAUGGCCGAUGUCUCUGCCAACAGUGCUUCCUUUAGUUGAUGAUGUUAAAACAUUGAUAUCUGGACCAUCCUCAGACAAGCUGCCAGUCACUUCGCCAUCACCUUGGCAACCGUGAAGUGGAGCAGCGCAACCAGCAAAGCUCUCCAAACAGGUGAGCCGUGGGAAGCAGAGAGACAGAGACCUGGGGCAGCACUGCAGCGAAGCAGUUGCACAGAAACCCCAGGCCUUUGCAGAACCAGCAAAUUGGAGAAGGCAUCUGAUGUGAUAUUCGGAGAAAGCGUUUGGGCUCCAGAGAAGAUCCCUCUGGGAAUGGAAAAAAGAAGUGCCUGUCGUGGUGUUUGGGAGCGUGAGACGAUGAAGGGGUGUUCAGUGUUCUGUUUCUAGAUCUUUACAGCUCUACCCAGCUCCACACAUUUCAUUGCUAGAAAUCAAAAGAUAAUAAACUUUAAGUCUAUAA
Molecule: long non-coding RNA, 650 nt
Filed under: Mus musculus (house mouse)
Lineage: Eukaryota; Metazoa; Chordata; Mammalia; Rodentia; Muridae
Description: predicted gene, 41750
Source: RNAcentral